GACGAACGCUGGCGGCGUGCUUAACACAUGCAAGUCGAACGGAAAGGCCCUGCUUUUGUGGGGUGCUCGAGUGGCGAACGGGUGAGUAACACGUGAGUAACCUGCCCUUGACUUUGGGAUAACUUCAGGAAACUGGGGCUAAUACCGGAUAGUAGCUCCUGCUGCAUGGUGGGGGUUGGAAAGUUUCGGCGGUUGGGGAUGGACUCGCGGCUUAUCAGCUUGUUGGUGGGGUAGUGGCUUACCAAGGCUUUGACGGGUAGCCGGCCUGAGAGGGUGACCGGCCACAUUGGGACUGAGAUAAGGCCCAGACUCCUACGGGAGGCAGAAGGGGGGAAUAUUGCACAAUGGGCGGAAGCCUGAUGCAGCAACGCCGCGUGCGGGAUGACGGCCUUCGGGUUGUAAACCGCUUUCGCCUGUGACGAAGCGUGAGUGACGGUAAUGGGUAAAGAAGCACCGGCUAACUACGUG
This 468-nucleotide ribosomal RNA is filed under the name uncultured bacterium. Its description in RNAcentral is "partial 16S ribosomal RNA". It matches the Rfam family "Bacterial small subunit ribosomal RNA", at positions 28 to 507 of the family's 1533-position model. The record is from RNAcentral.